UUCAAAACCAUGUUGUGUACAGCCAAGGACAGCCCAGGGCCUGGGACCUACGCUCACGAUGUGGUGACUGACAGGAAGGUGAGCUGGCCGAUGUGCUUCGGGAGCCCUGAUUGGUCCAGACUGCCUCAGAUAGAGAAGAAGUCCCUCAGAGUGAAGCUAAACAAUGAAAAGGAGUUCAUGAAGCACAGAAGGAGAGUGGCCUACCUGAGUCUGUACUAUCCAUUGUAAAGUUAAUUGACAAAUGCCAAUACAACAUUGACUUAAGAAGUUUCCUUUUUCAAAUGUUUUAAACUAAAUAUUUACCAAC
Long non-coding RNA from Notothenia coriiceps (black rockcod), 307 nucleotides. RefSeq lists it as uncharacterized. The transcript is spliced from 3 exons. The record is from RefSeq and is a predicted model, not a curated record. Lineage: Eukaryota; Metazoa; Chordata; Actinopteri; Perciformes; Nototheniidae.